RNAcentral lists this ribosomal RNA (493 nucleotides) under uncultured bacterium. Its description in RNAcentral is "partial 16S ribosomal RNA". It matches the Rfam family "Bacterial small subunit ribosomal RNA", at positions 28 to 507 of the family's 1533-position model. The record is from RNAcentral.
GACGAACGCUGGCGGCGUGCUUAACACAUGCAAGUCGAACGGAAAGGCCUGCUUUCCCUUGUGGAUUGCGGGUACUCGAGUGGCGAACGGGUGAGUAACACGUGAGUGAUCUGCCCCCAACUUGGGUAUAAGCCUGGGAAACUGGGUCUAAUUCCCGAUAGGACUGCAGGGUGGUGCCUGUGGUGGAAAACGAUUUUCUAGUGGUUGGGGAUGAGCUCGCGGCCUAUCAGCUUGUUGGUGGGGUAAUGGCCUACCAAGGCGGCGACGGGUAGCCGGCCUGAGAGGGUGGCCGGCCACCUUGGGACUGAGCUACGGCCCAGACUCCGACGGGAGGCAGCAGUGGGGCAUAUUGCACGAUGGGCGGAAGCCUGAUGCCGCGACGCCGCGUGGGGAUGACGGCCUUCGGGUUGUAAACUACUUUCGACCGAGAGGAAGCCACCUGGUUGGAAGGGUGGUGACGGUAGUGGUAGAAGAAGCACCGGCUAACUACGUG